AACGAACGCUGGCGGCAUGCCUAACACAUGCAAGUCGAACGAGACCUUCGGGCCUAGUGGCGCACGGGUGGGUAACGCGGGGGAACCUGCCCUUAGGUUCGGAAUAACUCCCCGAAAGGGGUGCUAAUACCGGAUAUUAUCUCGGGACCAAAGUUUUAGCGCCUGUGGAUGGGCCCGGGUUGGAUUAGCAAGUGGUUAGGGUAAAAGCCUACCAAGGCGACGUUCCAUAGCUGGUCUGAGAGGAUGAUCAGCCACACUGGGACUGAGACACGGCCCAGACUCCUACGGGAGGCAGCAGUGGGGAAUAUUGGACAAUGGGCGAAAGCCUGAUCCAGCAAUGCCGCGUGAGUGAUGAAGGCCUUAGGGUUGUAAAGCUCUUUUACCCGGGAUGAUAAUGACAGUACCGGGAGAAUAAGCUCCGGCUAACUCCGUG
RNAcentral lists this ribosomal RNA (433 nucleotides) under uncultured bacterium. RNAcentral describes it as "partial 16S ribosomal RNA". It matches the Rfam family "Bacterial small subunit ribosomal RNA", at positions 29 to 507 of the family's 1533-position model. The record is from RNAcentral.